This is a long non-coding RNA of Panicum virgatum (switchgrass), 608 nucleotides long. RefSeq lists it as uncharacterized. Lineage: Eukaryota; Viridiplantae; Streptophyta; Magnoliopsida; Poales; Poaceae. The transcript has 2 exons. The record is from RefSeq and is a predicted model, not a curated record.
CUUAUUCUAAGGUUAGUAGCCAUCAAUUCAUUGGCUUUGUACCCAUUUUCUUGGGAUUAAUGAUGCAUUUCGUGAUGAAUUGAUCAAGGAGGGCUUUUUUCUCCAUUUUUGGAUCAUUUCUCAUCAUUGGGGCUUCUUUUUUUGUUGUUUGAGUGAACCAACUUGUGAUAGGUUUGUAGCUAGCAAUCCAUUUGAUUCAUAGCCUUUAUCUUAGGAUUAGUCAUUCAUUUUGUGAUGAAUUGAUCAAGGAGAGUCUCUUUUUCUUCACUUUAGGAUAAAUUCUCAUGAACACUCAUCAUGAAGUCAUCAUGGAGGCUCAUUAAAUUUUGAGGACUGGACUUCACAUAUUUGAUUCAAGAUGAAUCGAGGUUGGAUGUAUGGUACAAAGGCUGGAAAUUUGGAUUUUGUCAAUGGUGUGGACUCGUUUGUGCAGACUGCCAAGGCACACAAGAAUCUACAAGAUGAUGGCUACGUGUAUUGCCCAUGCAUUGAUUGCAAAAAUCAGAAGCAGUUUGGCAAUGUUGAGCAGAUCCGCUUUCAUCUGUUAUUUAGAGGUUUUAUGCCCAACUACCAAGUUUGGAACAAGCACGGUGAGGUUGGUGAGACAA